ACAGUCACGAGGGCAAUUGUGCUUCAUAUCUCCUUUCAGACUCAUGUGACAAAUAAUGAAAAUGCAACAACAGCAGAUCAAAUCCCAACAUCUGUAACUGUUGGGUACCUAGUGGACAUCUUGCCUGAGUAAAACUAGGGUGGCAAAGAAUUCAGGAUGACAGCAGCAGCAGACCAGAGGAAGAGAUGAACCGCGAUUGGAACCAAUGGUGAACAGCUGCUAUACUGCACCCAAGAAACACACACCUACAAACACAAACAUAAUGGAGAAAAGAGUUUAAAGUACUAUUUCCCCUUGUCUGCCAACACGCAACAAAAGCAGUUGCUUGGUCUUCCACAUAUCAAUGGCAAAGAACAGUCAAUGAGAAUGGGUUCUGUGUAGCAAAGAAUGUUAACUCUCUCCU
Molecule: long non-coding RNA, 403 nt
Organism: Gavialis gangeticus (Gharial)
Lineage: Eukaryota; Metazoa; Chordata; Crocodylia; Gavialidae
Exons: 3
Source: RefSeq, a predicted model, not a curated record